UGGGGAAUAUUGGACAAUGGGGGCAACCCUGAUCCAGCCAUGCCGCGUGUGUGAAGAAGGCCUUUUGGUUGUAAAGCACUUUAAGCAGGGAGGAGAGGCUAAUGGUUAAUACCCAUUAGAUUAGACGUUACCUGCAGAAUAAGCACCGGCUAACUCUGUGCCAGCAGCCGCGGUAAUACAGAGGGUGCGAGCGUUAAUCGGAAUUACUGGGCGUAAAGCGAGUGUAGGUGGCUCAUUAAGUCACAUGUGAAAUCCCCGGGCUUAACCUGGGAACUGCAUGUGAUACUGGUGGUGCUAGAAUAUGUGAGAGGGAAGUAGAAUUCCCAGGUGUAGCGGUGAAAUGCGUAGAGAUCUGGAGGAAUACCGAUGGCGAAGGCAGCUUCCUGGCAUAAUAUUGACACUGAGAUUCGAAAGCGUGGGUAGCAAACAGGAUUAGAUACCCUGGUAGUCCACGCCGUAAACGAUGUCUACUAGCCGUUGGGGUCCUUGAGACUUUAGUGGCGCAGUUAACGCGAUAAG
RNAcentral lists this ribosomal RNA (519 nucleotides) under uncultured bacterium. Its description in RNAcentral is "partial 16S ribosomal RNA". It matches the Rfam family "Bacterial small subunit ribosomal RNA", at positions 355 to 864 of the family's 1533-position model. The record is from RNAcentral.